RNAcentral lists this ribosomal RNA (1476 nucleotides) under metagenome. RNAcentral describes it as "bacterial SSU rRNA". It matches the Rfam family "Bacterial small subunit ribosomal RNA". The record is from RNAcentral.
AGAGUUUGAUCCUGGCUCAGGACGAACGCUGGCGGCGCGCCUAACACAUGCAAGUCGAACGAGAGAGAGGGAGCUUGCUUCCUCAAUCGAGUGGCGAACGGGUGAGUAACGCGUGAGGAACCUGCCUCAAAGAGGGGGACAACAGUUGGAAACGACUGCUAAUACCGCAUAAGCCCACGGCUCGGCAUCGAGCAGAGGGAAAAGGAGCAAUCCGCUUUGAGAUGGCCUCGCGUCCGAUUAGCUAGUUGGUGAGGUAAUGGCCCACCAAGGCGACGAUCGGUAGCCGGACUGAGAGGUUGAACGGCCACAUUGGGACUGAGACACGGCCCAGACUCCUACGGGAGGCAGCAGUGGGGAAUAUUGCACAAUGGGGGAAACCCUGAUGCAGCGACGCCGUGUGGAGGAAGAAGGUCUUCGGAUUGUAAACUCCUGUUGUUGAGGAAGAUAAUGACGGUACUCAACAAGGAAGUGACGGCUAACUACGUGCCAGCAGCCGCGGUAAAACGUAGGUCACAAGCGUUGUCCGGAAUUACUGGGUGUAAAGGGAGCGCAGGCGGGCGAUCAAGUUGGAAGUGAAAUCCAUGGGCUCAACCCAUGAACUGCUUUCAAAACUGAUUGUCUUGAGUAGCGCAGAGGUAGGCGGAAUUCCCGGUGUAGCGGUGGAAUGCGUAGAUAUCGGGAGGAACACCAGUGGCGAAGGCGGCCUACUGGGCACCAACUGACGCUGAGGCUCGAAAGUGUGGGUAGCAAACAGGAUUAGAUACCCUGGUAGUCCACACCGUAAACGAUGAUUACUAGGUGUUGGAGGAUUGACCCCUUCAGUGCCGCAGUUAACACAAUAAGUAAUCCACCUGGGGGGUACGACCGCAAGGUUGAAACUCAAAGGAAUUGACGGGGGCCCGCACAAGCAGUGGAGUAUGUGGUUUAAUUCGAAGCAACGCGAAGAACCUUACCAAGUCUUGACAUCCUUCUGACCGGUACUUAACCGUACCUUCUCUUCGGAGCAGGAGUGACAGGUGGCGCAUGGUUGUCGUCAGCUCGUGUCGUGAGAUGUUGGGUUAAGUCCCGCAACGAGCGCAACCCUUAUCUUUAGUAGCCAGCGGUUUAGCCGGGCACUCUAGAGAGACUGCCAGGGAUAACCUGGAGGAAGGCGGGGAUGACGUCAAAUCAUCAUGCCCCUUAUGACUUGGGCUACACACGUGCUACAAUGGCGUAAACAAAGGGAAGCAAAGCUGUGAAGCCGAGCAAAUCUCAAAAAUAACGUCUCAGUUCGGACUGUAGUCUGCAACCCGACUACACGAAGCUGGAAUCGCUAGCAAUCGCAGAUCAGAAUGCUGCGGUGAAUACGUUCCCGGGUCUUGUACACACCGCCCGUCACACCAUGGGAGUUGGGAAUGCCCGAAGCCAGUGACCUAACCGAAAGGAAGGAGCUGUCGAAGGCAGGCUCGAUAACUGGGGUGAAGUCGUAACAAGGUA